This is a non-coding RNA of Erinaceus europaeus (western European hedgehog), 47 nucleotides long. NCBI's taxonomy places the organism in Eukaryota, Metazoa, Chordata, Mammalia, Eulipotyphla, Erinaceidae. The record is from Rfam.
AAAUAGGUCCUAUUCUGGACCAUACCAUUUAUAUAACAACAAAAUAU